RNAcentral lists this ribosomal RNA (556 nucleotides) under uncultured bacterium. RNAcentral's name for it is "bacterial SSU rRNA". It matches the Rfam family "Bacterial small subunit ribosomal RNA", at positions 923 to 1482 of the family's 1533-position model. The record is from RNAcentral.
GCACAAGCAGCGGAGCAUGUGGCUUAAUUCGAAGCAACGCGAAGAACCUUACCAGGGCUUGACAUUCAGGUGAAGCGGCGGAAACGUCGUGGCCGAGAGGAGCCUGAACAGGUGGUGCAUGGCUGUCGUCAGCUCGUGUCGUGAGAUGUUGGGUUAAGUCCCGCAACGAGCGCAACCCUCGUCGCAUGUUGCCAGCGGUUCGGCCGGGCACCCAUGCGAGACCGCCGGCGUUAAGCCGGAGGAAGGUGGGGACGACGUCAAGUCAUCAUGCCCCUUAUGUCCUGGGCUGCACACGUGCUACAAUGGUCGGCACAAUGGGCUGCCAGCCCGCGAGGGCGAGCGAAUCCCUAAAGCCGGCCCCAGUUCGGAUUGGAGGCUGCAACCCGCCUCCAUGAAGUCGGAGUUGCUAGUAAUCGCGGAUCAGCACGCCGCGGUGAAUGCGUUCCCGGGCCUUGUACAUACCGCCCGUCACACCACCCGAGUCGAUUGCACCCGAAGUCGCCGGCCCAACCCGCAAGGGAGGGAGGCGCCGAAGGUGUGGUUGGUAAGGGGGGUG